RNAcentral lists this ribosomal RNA (466 nucleotides) under uncultured bacterium. Its description in RNAcentral is "bacterial SSU rRNA". It matches the Rfam family "Bacterial small subunit ribosomal RNA", at positions 338 to 795 of the family's 1533-position model. The record is from RNAcentral.
CCUACGGGGUGCACCAGUGGGGAAUAUUGGACAAUGGGGGGAACCCUGAUCCAGCCAUGCCGCGUGUGUGAAGAAGGCCUUAUGGUUGUAAAGCACUUUAAGCGAGGAGGAGGCUACUUUAGUUAAUACCUAGAGAUGGUGGACGUUACUCGCAGAAUAAGCACCGGCUAACUCUGUGCCAGCGGCCGCGGUAAUACAGAGGGUGCGAGCGUUAAUCGGAUUUACUGGGCGUAAAGCGUGCGUAGGCGGCUUAUUAAGUCGGAUGUGAAAUCCCCGAGCUUAACUUGGGAAUUGCAUUCGAUGCCGGUGAGCUAGAGUAUGGGAGAGGAUGGUAGAAUUCCAGGUGUAGCGGUGAAAUGCGUAGAGAUCUGGAGGAAUACCGAUGGCGAAGGCAGCCAUCUGGCCUAAUACUGACGCUGAGGUACGAAAGCAUGGGGAGCAAACAGGAUUAGAUACCCGAGUAGUC